Molecule: ribosomal RNA, 254 nt
Filed under: uncultured bacterium
Lineage: Bacteria
Description: partial 16S ribosomal RNA
Rfam family: Bacterial small subunit ribosomal RNA
Source: RNAcentral
UACGUAGGGGGCGAGCGUUGUCCGGAAUCAUUGGGCGUAAAGAGCUCGUAGGCGGUUCAGCAAGUCGGCUGUGAAAUUCCGAGGCUCAACCUCGGAAUUGCAGUCGAUACUGCUGUGACUCGAGUCCGGUAGAGGAGAAUGGAAUUCCCGGUGUAGCGGUGAAAUGCGCAGAUAUCGGGAGGAACACCAGUAGCGAAGGCGGUUCUCUGGGCCGGUACUGACGCUGAGGAGCGAAAGCGUGGGGAGCAAACAGG